This 492-nucleotide ribosomal RNA is filed under the name uncultured bacterium. RNAcentral describes it as "partial 16S ribosomal RNA". It matches the Rfam family "Bacterial small subunit ribosomal RNA", at positions 29 to 507 of the family's 1533-position model. The record is from RNAcentral.
AGUGAACGCUGGCGGCAGGCCUAACACAUGCAAGUCGAACGGCAACACAAUGAGAGUUUGCUCUUUCCGGUGGCGUGUGGCGGGCGGGUGAGAUAUACAUCAGACUCCACUUUUUCGUGGGUUAUCUCGUGGAGACGGUUACGCUAACACCUCAUCCGCCCUACCGCAUAAAGCAGGAGCUCUUCGCCUCUUGCCAGCUUGUAUGCGCCGAUGUCGUAUUAGCUAGUUGGUGUGGUAAGGGCACACCAAGGCGACGAUCCGUAGCUGCUCUGAGAGGAUGAUCAGCCACACUGGAACUGAGACACGGUCCAGACUCCUACGGGAGGCAGCAGUGGGGAAUAUUGCACAAUGGGCGAAAGCCUGAUGCAGCAAUGCCGCGUGGGUGAAGAAGGCCUUCGGGUUGUAAAGCACUUUUAUUGGGGAAGAAAAGAGGAAGGUUAAUACCUGGACGUAUUGACGGUACCCAAAGAAUAAGCAACGGCUAACUACGUG